Molecule: long non-coding RNA, 737 nt
Filed under: Durio zibethinus
Lineage: Eukaryota; Viridiplantae; Streptophyta; Magnoliopsida; Malvales; Malvaceae
Description: long non-coding RNA (DZIB_LNC000774)
Source: RNAcentral
UCUAAUCAUCUUCCAUGAGACUAAGCUUUGCUUUAGUUUCCUAAAAAAGACCUGAGAGUGAGAGAUGACUUUGAAUUGGCUUGGCUUCAACUCUCAAUUUCUUUCACUCCACAAAUUUCAUCCUAUUCUCACCAAAAGAUUAUUUGGACAGGAGAUUAGCUGUUCCACCCUAAGUCUUGCUUCUUUUCCUCAAUUCCUCCUUCAUUUCAAGCUCUACUGCUGCACUAUCGCCAUGUGUCAUUAGAGUUGGUAAAGUACUUGUCUAUUCCUUGUUUUACUUUCUAAUUUCAUCUUUAAUCAUUCUAUUCCAUUUCUUUUUCUUCUUAAUUUGUUUUUAUGUAUGUUCUUAUCACUCUAAGCAUAUUAUAAUCAUUUAUAUAUAUAUAUAUAUAGAGAGAGAGAGAGAGAGAUGGAGAAAUAAAAUUGUAAAUGUUAAAGAUGAAAUCUCAAUUUUGCAAAUCGUUUCUUUCUUUUUCUCUCGUUUCUUUUUACUAUCUUCUUCCUCAUUACAUAUGUAUAACUAGAGCAAUGCCUUAUUUCUUUUGAAUGGGAUCCUUCUUUACUGAUCAUAUGCUUCAUUUCCAUCUCAUAGGUUAGGAGAGAGAUUGCUCCAUCAACUUAUCUGGCUUCAAGCUGUAAGUCUUGACUCUUGAGAUCUUUGGCCUCUUCAUUAUAUAUGGAACUUGGGAUCUCACCAUUUGGAAAGGGAUAUAAUCUUAUAUCUUCUUGACCAUCUU